CCUACGGGUGGCUGCAGUGAGGAAUAUUGGUCAAUGGCCGAAAGUCUGAACCAGCCAAGUAGCGUGAAGGAUGACUGCCCUAUGGGUUGUAAACUUCUUUUAUAUGGGAAUAAUAUGUUCCACGUGUGGGCUUUUGUAUGUACCUUAUGAAUAAGGAUCGGCUAACUCCGUGCCAGCAGCCGCUGUAAUACGGAGGAUCCGAGCGUUAUCCGGAUUUAUUGGGUUUAAAGGGGGCGUAGGUGGUUUUUUAAGUUAGUUGUUAAAGCUUGAGGCUCAACCGUAAAAUUGCAGUUGAAACUGGAAGUCUUGAGUACAGUAGAGGUGGGCGGAAUUAGUGGUGUAGCGGUGAAAUGCUUAGAUAUCACGAAGAACUCCGAUUGCGAAGGCAGUUCACUGGACUGCAACUGACACUGAGGCUCGAAAGUGUGGGUAUCAAACAGGAUUAGAUACCCGUGUAGUC
RNAcentral lists this ribosomal RNA (460 nucleotides) under uncultured bacterium. RNAcentral describes it as "partial 16S ribosomal RNA". It matches the Rfam family "Bacterial small subunit ribosomal RNA", at positions 338 to 795 of the family's 1533-position model. The record is from RNAcentral.